Non-coding RNA from Acanthosepion pharaonis, 99 nucleotides. The record is from the annotation of a GenBank genome assembly. Lineage: Eukaryota; Metazoa; Mollusca; Cephalopoda; Sepiida; Sepiidae.
CGUUGAAACAUAGGUUCCCGUACGAUCCCCGAAGUUAAGCAACUUUGAGCCAGGGCAGUAUCUUGAUGGGUGACCGUUCGGGAAUUCCAGGUGUUGUAA